CCAUUAGCUAGUUGGUGAGGUAACGGCUCACCAAGGCCACGAUGGGUAGCCGGCCUGAGAGGGUGUACGGCCACACUGGCACUGAGACAAGGGCCAGUCCCCUAUGGGAGGCGCAGGCGGGAAUAGUUCACAAUGGGCGAAAGCCUGAUGACGCGACGCCGCGUGAGCGAAGAAGACCUUCGGGUUGUAAAGCUCUGUCAGGAGGGAAGAAGGCUCUACGGGUCAAUAGCCCGUGGGAUUGACGGUACCUCCAGAGGAAGCCCCGGCUAAAUACGUGCCAGCAGCCGCGGUAAUACGUAUGGGGCAAGCGUUGUCCGGAUUUACUGGGCGUAAAGGGCGCGUAGGCGGUUUGUUAAGUCGAAGGUGAAAUCCUCGGGCUCAACUCGAGAAUUGCCUUCGAUACUGGCAAACUAGAGUGGCGGAGAGGAAAGCGGAACUCUUGGUGUAACGGUGGAAUGUGUAGAUAUCAAGAGGAACACCGGUGGCGAAGGCGGCUUUCUGGACGCACACUGACGCUCAGGCGCGAAAGCGUGGGUAGCAAACAGGAUUAGAUACCCUGGUAGUCCACGCCAUAAACGAUGGGUACUAGGUGUCGGGGGUAUCGACCCCUCCGGUGCCGCAGUUAACGCACUAAGUACCCCGCCUGGGGAUUAUGGUCGCAAGGCUGAAACUCAAAGGAAUUGACGGGGCCCCGCACAAGCGGUGGAGCAUGUGGUUUAAUUCGACGCAACGCGAAGAACCUUACCUGGGCUUGACAUGCUUGGGACAGCGCUGGAAACAGCGUCUCUCCUUCGGGAGCCCUUGCACAGGUGCUGCAUGGCUGUCGUCAGCUCGUGUCGUGAGAUGUUGGGUUAAGUCCCGCAACGAGCGCAACCCUCGUUACUAGUUGCCAUCAGUUCGGCUGGGCACUCUAGUGAGACUGCCGGUGAUAAACCGGAGGAAGGUGAGGAUGAUGUCAAGUCAUCAUGGCCCCUACGCCCAGGGCUACACACGUGCUACAAUGGUCGGCACAAAGGGUCGCUAAGCCGCGAGGUGGAGCUAAUCCCAAAAAGCCGGCCUCAGUUCGGAUUGGAGUCUGCAACCCGACUCCAUGAAGGCGGAAUCGCUAGUAAUCGCGGAUCAGCAUGCCGCGGUGAAUA
RNAcentral lists this ribosomal RNA (1139 nucleotides) under uncultured organism. RNAcentral describes it as "bacterial SSU rRNA". It matches the Rfam family "Bacterial small subunit ribosomal RNA", at positions 238 to 1368 of the family's 1533-position model. The record is from RNAcentral.